RNAcentral lists this ribosomal RNA (942 nucleotides) under uncultured Fusobacteriales bacterium. RNAcentral describes it as "bacterial SSU rRNA". The stretch from base 1 to 824 matches the Rfam family "Bacterial small subunit ribosomal RNA", at positions 28 to 873 of the family's 1533-position model. Lineage: Bacteria; Fusobacteriati; Fusobacteriota; Fusobacteriia; Fusobacteriales. The record is from RNAcentral.
GACGAACGCUGGCGGCGUGCCUAAUACAUGCAAGUAGAACGCUGAAGGAGGAGCUUGCUUCUCUGGAUGAGUUGCGAACGGGUGAGUAACGCGUGGGUAACCUGCCUGGUAGCGGGGGAUAACUAUUGGAAACGAUAGCUAAUACCGCAUAAUAGUAGAUGUUGCAUGACAUUUGCUUAAAAGGUGCAAUUGCAUCACUACCAGAUGGACCUGCGUUGUAUUAGCUAGUUGGUGGGGUAACGGCUCACCAAGGCGACGAUACAUAGCCGACCUGAGAGGGUGAUCGGCCACACUGGGACUGAGACACGGCCCAGACUCCUACGGGAGGCAACAGUAGGGAAUCUUCGGCAAUGGACGGAAGUCUGACCGAGCAACGCCGCGUGAGUGAAGAAGGUUUUCGGAUCGUAAAGCUCUGUUGUAAGAGAAGAACGAGUGUGAGAGUGGAAAGUUCACACUGUGACGGUAUCUUACCAGAAAGGGACGGCUAACUACGUGCCAGCAGCCGCGGUAAUACGUAGGUCCCGAGCGUUGUCCGGAUUUAUUGGGCGUAAAGCGAGCGCAGGCGGUUAGAUAAGUCUGAAGUUAAAGGCUGUGGCUUAACCAUAGUACGCUUUGGGAAACUGUUUAACUUGAGUGCAAGAGGGGAGAGUGGAAUUCCAUGUGUAGCGGUGAAAUGCGAGAUAUAUGGAGGAAACCGGUGGCGAAGCGCUCUCUGUCUUUUAACUGACACUCAGGCUCGAAAGCGUGGGGAGCGAACGAGAUUAAUACAUACAAACGAAAGUCUAAAUCGCAGGAAGGUGUGGCUAGGGGGAGCGUGCGACGCCAAGGGGGGCGGUACCGUGCGUUUGGGCCCGGCGGAAAAAGAGAUAAUACGAAGUGAGCGGACGCCAUUUACAACACAAAAUCCACUCAGUGGUGUCCUUCGUGUAAGAAUAAUAUAAG